GGAGGUGGGACCGAUAACUUCGGUCGUUCUGGGGCGGACCACUUCUAACUGCCUCACUUUGGAGGCGAUGGGACUGACCGUGUACUCUUUGGAGAGGGCGGUGCAGGCGGUGGAGGUAGUGGGGCCGAUCUUUUUGGUGUUGGAGAACGCGGUGGAGGCGUUGGAGUCCUCGGUGGUGGAGGUGGAGACCGCGGUGGAGGUAGUGGUG
RNAcentral lists this long non-coding RNA (208 nucleotides) under Sorghum bicolor (sorghum). RNAcentral describes it as "long non-coding RNA (SBIC_LNC002786)". Lineage: Eukaryota; Viridiplantae; Streptophyta; Magnoliopsida; Poales; Poaceae. The record is from RNAcentral.